This 4677-nucleotide long non-coding RNA is filed under the name Sus scrofa (pig). RNAcentral describes it as "lncRNA (ENSSSCG00050066760.1)". The record is from RNAcentral. Lineage: Eukaryota; Metazoa; Chordata; Mammalia; Artiodactyla; Suidae.
UCUUUUGCCUAGUGUUAUUCAUAUUUCUUUUUCUUUAUUUUCCUGCCUAGUUCUAGAUUAAGAAACUAUUUCAUUUUUUAUUAUGUAUUUCUCUACUUUGCUAUUUUAUAAUCUAUUUCCCUUAUUUUAAUAUUAAUACAUUUUAAAAUAUGUACAGAGCUUACAAAGUUUGAGGUUUAUCAAUACAUUUUUUUUAUGGCCACACUUUUGACGUAUGGAUGUUACUGAGCCAGGUAUUGAUUCUGAGCUGCAGCUGUGACCUCCACAGCUGUGGAAAUGCAGCUACUGGAGCCACUCUGGUGUUGAAAUCAUCAGAAAGCACCAUUGCUUGUGUUCCCUCAGUUCCACCCCUGUCUAGGGCCUGCUCCAGCUCAAGAAGCCCUGCCAAGUUGGCCUCAGGUGCAGCAUUCCCCAAAGACUAUACUUAGUCUAGUCCUGAUCUAGCUUCAGUCACUCCAUCGAGCUUGCCACUGGCACAACACCCACCAGGAUCUGCUCCCAGAUUGUGCCUGCUCCAGACCCAGCCACCCUUCCAAAGUACUUCAGUAUAGCCCUUCACAGGACUGCCUGUGGCCCAUGCCCACUCUAGCUCCCACAAGCCUUCCAAAGCUGCCAGGCACAAACAGUUUAUGUAAGGAAUGCUCUGACAUAAGUCCACUUACUUAAGACCAGGAGAGGAAGCUAUUUCACAUAAGGGAUAGAAACAAAAUCCUAAAGUUAAAUGAAAUGAAGAGAUAGAGUAAUAUGUUCCGAAUUAAAGAAUAAUAUAAAACCCCAGAAAAAAACCCAAGGAAAAUAGAUAUGUUUAUACGACAAAGUGUUCAAAGAAAUGGUCAUAAGGAUGGUUAUUGAACAUGGGAGAAGAAAAGAGGUACUUACUCAUUGAAAAUUUCAACAGACUUAGAAAUUAUAAGAACCAAUCAUAACAAAAUAAUACAUAACUGAAGUAAAAAUACAUGAAUGUAUCUCUUUUUUAUUAAAAUAGUUGAUUUACAAUGUUUCUUCAAUUUCUGUUGUACAGUAAUGUGACCUAAACACACACAGUUCCCCGUGCUGUACUGUAGGCCCCCAUUGUCAUCCAUUCCAAAUGUUACAGUUUGCAUCACCAACCCCAAACUCCCUAUCUAUCCCACUGCUUCCCUCAUCCUCUCAGCAACCACAAGUCUACUCUCAAUGUCUGUGAUUUUUUUCUUAUUUGUAGCUCAAAUGACCUGUGCCAUAUUUUAGAUUCCACAUAUAGGUGAUAUUAUAUGGUAUUUGUCUAUCUCUUUCUAACUUACUUGACUUAUGAGAGUCUCUAGUUCCAUCCAUGUUGCUGCAAAUGGCAUUAUUUUGUUCUUUUUAUGGCUGAGUAGUAUUCCAUUGUGUAUAUGUACCAUUUAUUCUUAAUCAACUCAUGUAUCAGAGAGACAUUUAUGUUGUUUCCAUGUCUUGGUGAUUGUGAAUAGUGCUGCUAUGAACAUAGAGGUGUAUGUGUCUUUUUGAAGGAAAAUUUUGUCUGGGUAAAUGCCUAGGAGUUGGGUUGCUGGAUCACAUGGUAGAUCUAUAUUUAGUUUUCCUAGGAAACUCAAUCCUGUCUUCUAUAGUGGUUGUACUAAUUUACAUUCUCACCCACAGUGCCAGAAGGUACUCUUUUCUCCAUACCCUCUUCAACAUUUGUUAUUUGUUGACAGCCAUUCUGCCCAUUGUGAAUGGGUACCUCAUCAUAGUUUUGAUUUGUAUUUCUUUAAUAAUUAGUGAUGUUGGGCAUUUUUUCAUGUUCCCACUGGCAAUCUGUAUGUCUUCUUUGGAGAAAUGUCUAGGAAUUCUGCCCAUUUUUCAGUUGGAUUUUUUGUUUUAUUGUUGAGUUGUAUGAGUUGUUUAUUAGGCCCUUGUCAGUUGCAUCAUUUGCAAAGAUUUUCUCCCAGUCUGUGGGUUGUAUUUUCAUUUUUUUAAAAUAGUUCCCUUCACUGUUGAAAAGCUUUGAGUUUAAUUAGGUCCCUUUAGUUAGUUAGUUAGUUAGUUAGUUUUUUUGUUUGUUUGUUUAUUGCUUUUUUUUUUUUUUUUUUUUUUUUUGCCAUUUCUUGGGCCGCUUCCACGGCAUAUGGAGCGGCCCUAGAAAAGGCAAAGACAAAAAAAAAAUUGACAGAACACUGUAAAUGAGCUAUAACAGAAAAAAACCAAAAAUCAUUAUUUUAAAAAUUAAUUAAUUAAUUAAUUAAUUAAUGUAGGAUCCUAUCUUUUGGCAUUUGCAUAUACCAGCUUUUCUUUCAACUAGAUUAGUCCCGUCUCAAAUGCCUGGCACAUGUACAUUUCUCCUGAGAAAUUUAUGUAACUUUCCGUCUUUUAAUUUGAUGAUGGUGAUAAUGAUAAUUUGCAAUAGAGUCCCUUCUUGAUUACCAGAGUAAACUCAGUAGUAAUCUGGGAAACUCAUAGGAAUAUGUGAUACGGUCAGUUUAUGUUAUUGGGAAACUUGCAGAUGCUAAUCAUUAAUUUGUUUAGAGUUUCUCUGUCCAUGAGAAUUAGAGAAUGAGGACAAUCUCAUAGUUAAUAUUGAAAGCAUGGAUUUUAAAUAUUCAAGCUAUUUUAAGUAGUUAAACACUCUUAAGCCUGAGACAGCUUAGUUUUCCUGAGAAUAAGGUAAUAAAUAAUGUUGAACUAAAAAUAUAAUUAUGGCAGAAAUGGUUAAUUAUCUAUCAAAACCCUUACUGUUUUUUGUGAAAAUUGAAGUGCAUUUCUAAUCCUAUCUUGCAGAUAGGUGUAGUUGUGAGAUUGAGUCUACAGGCAGGAAAGUGAAUGAAAGUGAUCUAUUCUGUUACAAUGGCUAGCCUAUAAAUAUCCUACCUGGCAGAGCUACCAUCAAACUGGAUCCCUGAAUAACAUCAUGAAGCAGCUUUAAUAUAACCUAGAAUAUUUAUGUCCUGAUAUAUGCAAUACACAUUUAUUGUAUGAGGUCUUUGUUUGCUUGUCUGUUUUUUAUAAGUGCAGCCUUUCCUAUCCUAACCAAUAUUCAGGAUAUAAGCUUUGAAUAGGAAUGCUGCUGUAACAGAAACUUAAUUUCUGUAACUCUAACAAACGCAGAGCAGAAAAUUUUGAAGUCAAAAAGAGGAGGACAUCUGCUAGGUGUUAGCAAAUCACUUGGUUAAAUUUUUCAACCUUGGAUAACUUGGAAGGCAGAUCAAAUACCUUAAGGAGUCUAAAGUUCUAUAUGGAGUGUUUUGGGGAAUCAGAUCAUUGUGUGUGGGAUUCUUUUUUUGUAUUUUGUAAGGUAUCAAAGUUUUGGAUAGAAUUGGGUUAUUUGCACAAAAAAUUUGGAAAAAUCUAAUGACUAAUGACUUCUUUACUCCAACAAAAAAAAGAAAGAAAAAGAAAAAGAAAAAAAGAAGAGUGAAAAAGAGUAAUAAAAAGACAACCUGAAGUGAGCAACCAAUAAAAUGUCUCAGUUUAAAAAAGGGACUCAUCCCUGUGGCAAAGAUCAGAUUAAGAAUACUGCCUUCCCUUCCAAGCCUUCCCUCCAGCACCAUGUAACAUCAAGGUAGUUGCAAUUAAAUUAAGUGAAAAUCAUGGGAACAAAUAAAGAAGGCAAUAAUAAGAACUCUAUAUAGAAGGGAAAUUUGGUUUGAAUGCUGGUAUGUGGAACUGACUGGAAACAAAUACAUCAGAAUCAUUUUAAGUUUUUUUUUAAGAGAUUAUUUUGCCCAACAGUAAAGAAAAAUAUCUUCCAUCCUGAAAAAGCCUGUGAGUCUAAAUCAGUGCUUCAACCUAUAAAUAUGCAUGGCAGGGUCUGGGUUGUUAAAGCUGUAAAUCUCCCAAGGAAGCACAGUUCCCAGCUCUCUUCAGAGGUAGCCAGAGCAGGGGCUUCAUAAUACCUGCCUUUAUGCUAUGCACCAGUGAAUUGCAGUGUGUUUUCUCUUUCUUCCUGAAUGAGUUUUAAUUGCAAUUAUGCAAUUUAUCCUGUGUGUGUGUGUGUGUGUGUGUGUGUGUGUGUGUGUGUGUACACACUUCCUCUACUUUUACCUACUUGGUGUCACUUCUCUUAUGGUUAGGAAAGGAGUUCUCAGGAGUGGAAUGCCUUCAGUGCAGCAGAUGUCAAUAAGGUGACAGAUGAUGAGAGCAUCUCUGUUCCUAAACACAGGACUCCCUUGGGAACGUCUAUAAAUAGCUAGCCAUAGAUUUGAUUGAGAUCAAGUAGUUAUGGAGAAGAGGACCAAGAAAAUAAUAAUGAUUGCUUGAUUUUGUAUAUACACAUGGCUGACAUUUGGAACAUUGGUUUAAAAUAUUCUCCUUAUAGUUAGUUAUGUGCUGCAUUUAAUCUAACUGCCCCAGUGGAUGGGGCACUGACAAGCACCUAGUGGGCAUUCAGUUGAAAUUUACUGUCAUUAUGACUGUAAAAUGAUCCAUUUUUUCUGUUUAUGCCUUCAAGGAAGAAACUCUCUGGCCCUUAGAUAGCUUGCUUUUUCUGUAUGAUGUAUAUUCAGAGUGCAUAAAACUAUAGUCAUUGUGACUUGUGCAUUUUGUAAGAGAAUUGAGAGAUUUCAUAUUAUAAAAAAUAAUACAAAAUUAGUCCUGAAUGAUGUUGUAUCAGUACCAUCAUCUUCAGCCAUAAUGAUAAUGCAUUGUGAAUAUACCAUUCAUUCAUUUGCUGGUUUUCCAUUUUUUUCACUUACUCUUCAUUCAUACCCUAAGUCGUUGUGAUUC